Lutzomyia longipalpis is the source of this 892-nucleotide long non-coding RNA. RefSeq lists it as uncharacterized. NCBI's taxonomy places the organism in Eukaryota, Metazoa, Arthropoda, Insecta, Diptera, Psychodidae. The transcript is spliced from 2 exons. The record is from RefSeq and is a predicted model, not a curated record.
AAGGAGGAGCUCGCUCUGCUGUUGUAUGCUAUGUGUUGUGAUAUUCCGCGCGGCACUGAACAGUGAUGUAAUAAUUUUUUUUGUAAAAAUGUUAGUGGAAUACAAGAAAAAUCCAUGUUGAUGCUACGAUCUUCAGAGACUGACACCACCCUGUUGCUGUCGGGACUGUAUUUUACAUCCCACACUUGAUCAGCGUGCUCACGGAAGGUGUGCAAGCAUGUGCGGUUAGAGACUUCCCAGAUUUUGACGGUUUUAUCGCUGGAGCUCGAUGUGAAGAAUCUCCCGUCGCCGGAAAAUGCGACUGAGAGCACCCACGAAGCAUGACCCGAGAGCGUACCAACGACAUCGGAAUGUGCAACAUCGUACAGCUUCAUAUGCCCAUCGUCGGAUGCAGUAAGGAGCAUUUGGGAGUCUGGAGAGAAGCACAAACUCCGCACAGACAUGGCAUGUCCUUCAAGGGUUUGAGCCACUUUCCCAGCAGCUACGUCGAAUAUGUUAAUAAUCCCAUCAAUUGCUCCACUUGCAAUGUACUUUCCAUCCGGACUCUGGUGUAGCAUAAAAAAAACAUUAAUUCAAAGAGACAAAAGAUUCUUUCUGUGGAGACUUACAUAUGCUAUGCUGAGAGUGAAUUUUCCAUUUUGUGGAUCAAGAACUUGCUCGGAUUUUCCCGUUUCAACGUUAUAAAGUGAAAUUUUCCCAUCAUGAGAUCCCGAAAUGACAUAUUUAUCGCACGGUGAGAAGGCAACUGUCCACAAAUCUACAGGUCCCAAUGCAGCUUGAUUGAGAAGUUGACCAGUCUCAGAAUUCCAAAAGCACAAGCUUGAGUCUAGAGAACUACUCACAAUAGCUGAAAAAUACAAAACAGAGAAAAAUUAUAGAAUUUUCACAAAAA